ACGGGAGGCAGCAGUGGGGAAUAUUGCACAAUGGGGGAAACCCUGAUGCUGCGACGCCGCGUGAGUGAAGAAGUAUUUCGGUAUGUAAAGCUCUAUCAGCAAGGAAGAAAAUGACGGUACUUGACUAAGAAGCCCCGGCUAACUACGUGCCAGCAGCCGCGGUAAUACGUAGGGGGCAAGCGUUAUCCGGAUUUACUGGGUGUAAAGGGAGCGUAGACGGUAUGGCAAGUCUGAAGUGAAAUGCAUGGGCUAAACCCAUGAACUGCUUUGGAAACUGUCAAACUAGAGUGCAGGAGAGGUAAGUGGAAUUCCUAGUGUAGCGGUGAAAUGCGUAGAUAUUAGGAGGAACACCAGUGGCGAAGGCGGCUUACUGGACUGUAACUGACGUUGAGGAUCGAAAGCGUGGGGAGCAAACAGGAUUAGAUACCCUGGUA
Molecule: ribosomal RNA, 434 nt
Filed under: uncultured Lachnospiraceae bacterium
Lineage: Bacteria; Bacillati; Bacillota; Clostridia; Lachnospirales; Lachnospiraceae
Description: partial 16S ribosomal RNA
Rfam family: Bacterial small subunit ribosomal RNA
Source: RNAcentral